GGGCAGAUGGCCGAGUGGUCUAAGGCGCUAGUUUUAGGUGUGCUGGAGUCAUCGAUCCGGUCAUCAUCACCACUAGUCUUCGGGCGUGGGUUCAAAUCCCACUCGGCCCA
Puccinia triticina 1-1 BBBD Race 1 is the source of this 110-nucleotide transfer RNA. It matches the Rfam family "tRNA". From Rfam's summary of the family: Transfer RNA (tRNA) molecules are approximately 80 nucleotides in length. Their secondary structure includes four short double-helical elements and three loops (D, anti-codon, and T loops). The record is from Rfam. NCBI's taxonomy places the organism in Eukaryota, Fungi, Basidiomycota, Pucciniomycetes, Pucciniales, Pucciniaceae.